AGGGUUAUCACUCAGCAAGUGGUCUCUUCUUUCUAGGAUCACUUUUCAAACCCUCCCUGCAGUGCUCAGGGAAGUGAGUUCGAUGCUCUGCACACUAUUGUACACACCACAAACGCACCAUCUAUAAUACAGCACAAUUGUCAGUUGCUGUUUUACAGAGGGGCCUGGGCUGAACAAUCAUGGUGGAUAAAUUACUUUCCUAUUCUACAGCAAGCGGCCUUCCUACCAUGUGAAGCUUAAGGUCAUUGGCAGGGCAGUGAGGGAGAAGCUUAUAUAUUAGUUAACUCUAAUGCACUAAUAGUGUUCAGAUAGGGGAACUAUACCUAUUAAUUACAGUUAGGUUUGUUCAUCGAGAAUGGGGGCUGAUGAAGAGUUACUGUGCUGAGAUACAUACAUGUAUGUGUAUGGAUGCAUAUAUAUAUGUUUGCUUUCUUGCUACAAUACUCCUAUAGGUAACUUAUUUUUCUUUUUUAUUUAAUAUCUACAUUAAAGCCUUCAAUAUUUGUCAUUGCAAGAAUCCAGAUUUCAGAAAUCAGAAAAUGUUCUAAAAAGGUUUUUAUACUGUGGCAACACAUUCUGCUCACAGUUUUUACAGUGUAGUCUAAAGGGGGAGGGGAAGAAAAAACCUGUCAAAAAUUAAGUAGAACAUCCUUGAAUGGCAAACAGCAUGCCCAGAAUUUAUGUACAACGCAGUGGCAAGUAGCUGCUUCUUAUUAAAUGAAAAUCCUGUAUUAUGUACUUCAGGAACAUUCCAACUAAUGAGUAUGUAAUGUCCUUAGUAUAACACAGAACUUCUUUUUGUGUUCACAACCACAAGAUGCUGGAAACUUGACAAAUGAUAUCAUUUAAGACAGAUGCCUGCCUUAGGGACCUGUUUUUUGGCUUCCUGUUUCUGGUUUUUAUUUCAAUAACAUUUGUAAUUGCCACAGGAUCUGUACCUGUGUAGUGUUUUAACCCCUUCACAUAUACCCUAUUGCAUUAACUCCUUGGGUAGGUACUUGGGAAUCCUUUCUUUUUAAUUUUUCUUUCUUUUUUUUUUUUUUUUCCUCCCCAGCUGGUGUGUUCUGCCUCUCUUGAGCAGAGACAUAAAUAAAAGCUGGGCUUAUUAGACCAGAUGAAAUGGUAACGUUAGAGGCGUUAAAUGCUUACUGCACUAGCUGUGUUUUACUAGUACAAAAGUACAUGUAGAGCAGACCCAAGGCAAAACCCAAGAAACUGUAUGGCCUGCUGAUAAGCAGAUAUGUCCUGCUGAUUCUCAGUGAGAGACAACAAAACUAUGUAUGCAGCUCAAGCACAUAAUACUUUGAUCUCAGUUAUAUUUUCCAAUGUACCUUACUCUUCCUUAAACUGGCAUUCUUUACUUAGGUUAUAGGGCAGGAAUGUUUUUGACAUCACUGCAAUUGAUGCUGGUUACAAGGGGUGUUUCGGCAGUCCUGGUUCAACGCGAGCUGUAAGAGCCUUCUUCAAGUAAAGCCCUUAUCACUGGACUUCAGCAGUUUUCAGCUCCCCAGGUGGUCAGCACAGAUCCUGGCAGACUGCAAGAACCUUACCCACAAUACUGAGCAGCCCAGGGGCUUUUGUGGUGCUUUAUAGCAUGUUUGGCUUUUUUGUAGGUUUUGCAAAACACGUUAGAAAUGGGCUGUGUACAAGAAGCUUACAUGGUUCUGCACAGGGAAGUUUUCACUGGGAAACUUUACUAAAUCCUACACAGUGCUGUAGUAACAAAUAAGGGCUUGGAAAGAGCAAGAGUUCUUGGCACCUAUUCUGCAGGUGAGAAUUUUCUACUUGUCAGAAGCACUUAGCUCUCGUGGAUUUACAGUGCUUUCUGAUGUCAUUUCGAAGCAAAAACUUUACAUUCAAGCCUUUUGUCACAGGACAUGUAGUCUCAUUGCACCUGCUUCAACUCUUAAGGCAAGUUUAUCCUGUGAAGCGUCAAACAACCUUAUCUUUCUUCAGAACAGGAGCUGAGGACUCUGAAAACCUCAAGAAACAUCUCUGUUUACUGGAAGACCAGACAGCACAUCAUACAAACAUACCCUCCGGGCUUUCUGUAGGAGGAGGAGGAAGUCUUUAUCUUCCAUCACAAAAGGGAGGUCAAAAGGACCAAGUGAGUGCCAGGCCAAGUAACUUCUGUUGUUCUAGAGUUCAUUUUUGGAGGAGAGCCAUUCUCGUUGUGUAACACUGAUGCAGCACAUUUCAUUAGCUGUGUACAGAUCCAAGAAUAAAUUUUGGCCUUGACCGUGGAAUGUUCACCCACUUUCAAGUAUGGAUGUGACCUGCCUUCUUCUGUGACUAACAGGGUUACCAGAGGCAGUGGAACAUACACCAGGACUAGAGAGAAUAAAACCAGAGGGGAAGCAAGCUGUCAAGAGAACAGUGUAUUGAAAAGGAAAAAUGUAAAUCAUGACUUCUAUUUACCAUGAUUAAUAUGUAAAGUUAACAUGUUUGUCAUGGAAUAUAUUAAUAUGUAUGUUUUCCCAUUAUGUAGAUCUUUUCUUAUAUUACUUAUUAGAAAGGGAUAUAAUCACAAUGAUGGGGCAAGAAUGCCACUUAAAAAUUAGGUGAUGCCCAGUCAACAUAAUAUAACCACUACAGUGUCAUUUCUCAUUUAGAUGUGGUGAUAUCAGUGUAAUUGCAGCUGGGAAGAAAUUAUAAUGGCUGUUAAUGAUAAAUAAAAUGACAAGAAGGAGGAUCCUCCUUCACAUAUAA
Molecule: long non-coding RNA, 2709 nt
Organism: Pezoporus flaviventris
Lineage: Eukaryota; Metazoa; Chordata; Aves; Psittaciformes; Psittacidae
Exons: 3
Source: RefSeq, a predicted model, not a curated record